CCUACGGGUGGCUGCAGUAAGGAAUAUUGGUCAAUGGACGAAAGUCUGAACCAGCCAUGCCGCGUGGAGGAUGAAGGUCCUCUGGAUUGUAAACUUCUUUUAUAUGGGACGAAAAAAGGGUUUUCUAACUCGUCUGACGGUACCAUAUGAAUAAGCACCGGCUAACUCCGUGCCAGCAGCCGCGGUAAUACGGAGGGUGCAAGCGUUAUCCGGAUUCACUGGGUUUAAAGGGUGCGUAGGUGGGUUGGUAAGUCAGUGGUGAAAUCCCCGAGCUUAACUUGGGAACUGCCAUUGAUACUAUCAGUCUUGAAUACCGUGGAGGUCAGCGGAAUAUGUCAUGUAGCGGUGAAAUGCUUAGAUAUGACAUAGAACACCAAUUGCGAAGGCAGCUGGCUACCCGAAUAUUGACACUGAGGCACGAAAGCGUGGGGAUCAAACAGGAUUAGAUACCCUAGUAGUC
This 460-nucleotide ribosomal RNA is filed under the name uncultured Chitinophagaceae bacterium. Its description in RNAcentral is "bacterial SSU rRNA". It matches the Rfam family "Bacterial small subunit ribosomal RNA", at positions 338 to 795 of the family's 1533-position model. The record is from RNAcentral. Lineage: Bacteria; Pseudomonadati; Bacteroidota; Chitinophagia; Chitinophagales; Chitinophagaceae.